UACGGAGGAUCCAAGCGUUAUCCGGAAUCAUUGGGUUUAAAGGGAGCGCAGGCGGAUUUGUAAGUCAGUGGUGAAAGCCCCGAGCUCAACUUGGGAACUGCCAUUGAUACUAUAAGUCUUGAAUGUCGUUGAGGUUUGCGGAAUGGGUCAUGUAGCGGUGAAAUGCAUAGAUAUGACCCGGAACACCGAUUGCGAAGGCAGCAGGCUAAACGAAUAUUGACGCUGAGGCUCGAAAGCGUGGGGAUCAAACAGG
Molecule: ribosomal RNA, 253 nt
Filed under: uncultured bacterium
Lineage: Bacteria
Description: partial 16S ribosomal RNA
Rfam family: Bacterial small subunit ribosomal RNA
Source: RNAcentral